GAUCCGGGCUCGUCGCUGGCCAUGGUAGAACACUGACAUUCCUGCCUUGCAGGAAAUCACGCACAGAACGAGCAGUAUGGCUGGUGGCAUUUUCAAGCUGGAGGGUCAUGUCAGGAUGAGCCUGCAGGAAGGGUACCACAUGAGGGAGGAGGUCUUCCCUGUAACGCACAGUGUUGAGAUUGCCUGCAAUAACAAGCUCAGUCCGAUGAUGCUGUGACACACAGCCCCAGAUCAUGAAGGACCCUCCACCUCGAACCCGCUCCAGAGUACAGGCUCAUUCCUUCGACGAUAAACGCGAAUCCGACCAUCACCCCUGGUGAGACCAAACCGCUCGUCAGUGAAGAGCACUUUUUGCCAGGCCUGUCCGGUCCAGCGACGGUGGGUUUGUGCCGAUAGGAGAUGUAAGGCAAGUCCUCACCAGACAACAGGCCUACAAGCCCUCAGUCCAGCCUCUCAGACUAUUGUGGACAGUCUGAGCACUGAUGGAGGGAUUGUGUGUUCCUGGUGUAACUCGGCCAGUUGUUGUUGCCAUCCUGUACCUGUCCCGCAGGUGUGAUGUUCGGAUGUACCGUUCCUGUGCAGGUGUUGUUACACAUGGUUUGCCACUGCGAGGACGUUCCGUCCUGUCUCCUUGUAGUGCUGUCUUAGGCGUCUCACAGUACGGACAUUGCAAUUUAAUGCCCUAGCCACAUCUGCAUUCCUCAUGCCUCCUUGCAGCAUGUCUAAGACACGUUCAUGCAGACGAGCAAGGACCCUGGGCAUCUUUCUUUUGGUGUUUUUCCAGAGUGGUUUCGUUUCUUUGUAUCCUAAAGAAACUCCCUAGGCCUUGCCGAUGACAAGCAUACCCAUAACAUGAUGCAACUACCACGACGCUUGAAAAUAUGAAAAGUGCUACUCAGUCAUUUGAUGUGUUGGAUUUGCCCCAAACACUUUGUUUUCAUGACAUAGUUCAUUUCUUUGGCACAUUUUUUGCAGUUUUACUAUAGUUCCUUAUUGUCAACAAGAUGCAUGUUUCAGAAUAUUUGUAUUCUAUACAGACUUCCUUCUUUUCACUCCGUCAACUAGGUUAGUAUUGUGGAGUAACUACAAUGUUGAUCCAUCCUCAAUAUACUUUUUUUUAUUUAACCUUUAACUAGGCAAGUCAGUUAAGAACAAAUUCUUAUUUACAAUGAUUUCCUACCCUAGCCAAACCCGGACCAAUUGUGAGCCGCCCUAUGGGACUCCCAAUCACGGCUUAUUGUGAUACGGCCUGGAUUCAAACCAGGGUCUCUCAGUGCUAGAGGCGUCACUACAGAUGAAGUGCCUUAGUACUCAAGUGGUGCAGCGGUCUAUCACAGCCAUUAAACUCUGUAACCAUUUUAAAAUUGGCCUCGUGGUGAAAUCCCUGAGCGGUUUUCUUCCUCCCCGGCAACAUUUUUUUCAGUUUUCAAAUCAAUUUAAUUGACUAUUUUGGUUAAAGGCCUUGGUGCCCUGGCAGAUUGCCUUGGUGCCCUGGCAGAUUGCCUUGGUGCCCUGGCAGGUUGGACACCUAUAGAAGGGCAAAUGGCCUUCCCCCUAAAAUCCCAAGCCUGUCCACCACCUGAACCCCUUAUUGAUCCAGAGAACCCUGCACAGGUGUGGCCUUUCACAGUUGACACCCUCAUGUGAUGUACCAGCAGACAGAAACAGUGAGUGUCCACUUUCAGUCACACCUGCAUGACAGUGCUGAGGGUAGCAGGCAGCAAGGUAGCAAGCAGCAGCGCUGAGGGCUGGGAGAAGAACACGUCGAGCGGUCCUCUCCAUUUUGCUCUAGCAACAGCUCCUCUACAAUGCUAACUACACCAACAUCAUACAAAAAUUAGUGUGAAAAUGUUCUCUCACUUCAUAUCACACCCUCAAUCUGUUUCCUGUCACUACAUUAUUUUGUCUGUGGUGGAGGACUACUUACAGUUAGGUGGUGGGCCGUAGCAAGCCAUCUGCUUUAGUUAUCAAGAUGAUCUAUCUCUGUCGAUGGAGGAGCAGGUGUAGAUUUAUUUAUUCUGAACACAUUUCUGUUUGUUGGCAAUGAUAAUUCUUGCAACAAUUUUUACAUUUUUUAAAAUAAAAUUGCAAUAAUUAUGUUUGCUAGCUGGGACAGGCGAAUGCCGCAGAGUACUGAACUGUAAACCAAGCUAAACUUGUGUACUAUCCAUGGCACUCCCUGCUGAUCAUGUCUGCCAAUCACAUUAUUCGUAUCUAAGGUAGUAGACAGCUGGUGAUUACAGCUCAAGAGAGAACUCAGUCCGACAAACUGCUACCAGAGGACCUGAGCCCUAGGACCAUGCCUCAUGACUACCUGACAUGAUGACUCCUUGCUGUCCCCAGUCCACCUGGCCGUGCUGCUGCUCCAGUUUCAACUGUUUUGCCUGCGGCUAUGGAAUCCUGACCUGUUCACCGGACGUGCUACCUGUCCCAGACCUAUUAUUUGACCAUGCUGGUAAUUUAUGAACAUUUGAACAUCUUGGCCAUGUUCUGUUAUAAUCUUCACCCGGCACAGCCAGAACAGGACUGGCCACCCCUCAUAGCCUGGUUCCUCUCUAGGUUUUGGCCUUUCUAGGGAGUUUUUCCUAGCCAAUGUGCUUCAACACCUGCAUUGCUUCCUGUUUGGGGUUUUAGGCUUGGUUUCUGUACAGCACUUUGAGAUAUCAGCUGAUAUCAGCUAUAUAAAAAUACAUUUGAUUUGAUGAUUAACUACAACCUAAAAGCUCUUACCUUGGAAUAUUGAAGUCUCAUGUUAAAAGGAACCCCCAGCUUUCAUAUGUUCUCAUGUUCUGAGCAAGGAACUUAAACGUUCGCUUUUUUACAUGGCACAUAUUGCACUUUCUCCUCCAACACUGUGUUUUUGCAUUAUUUAAACAAAAUUGAACAUGUUUCAUUAUUUAUUUGAGACUAAAUAGAUUAUGUAUUAAGUUCAAAUGAAAGGGUUCCUUGUUCA
Oncorhynchus keta (chum salmon) is the source of this 2953-nucleotide long non-coding RNA. RefSeq lists it as uncharacterized. The record is from RefSeq and is a predicted model, not a curated record. NCBI's taxonomy places the organism in Eukaryota, Metazoa, Chordata, Actinopteri, Salmoniformes, Salmonidae. The transcript is spliced from 2 exons.